GGCAGAUCCAUUUUCUGCCACCGAAUACAUUAGCAUGGGAUAAUGGAAUAGGACCCUGUCCUCCUAUUUUCAGUUGGUUUUGGCAGCGCGAGGACUAGGGUAAUGAUUAAUAGGGAUAGUUGGGGGCAUUAAUAUUUAAUUGUCAGAGGUGAAAUUCUUGGAUUUAUGAAAGAUUAACUUCUGCGAAAGCAUCUGCCAAGGAUGUUUUCAUUAAUCAAGAACGAAAGUUAGGGGAUCGAAGACGAUCAGAUACCGUCGUAGUCUUAACCAUAAACGAUGCCGACCAGCGAUUAGGAGACGUUGAAUACAAAACACCACCAUCGGCGCGGUCGUCCUUGGCGUCGGUCCUUCACGGGGCCGGCGCGAGGGCGGCUUAGCCCGGUGGCACCGGUGAAUGACUCCCCUAGCCUUUGGGUGNGAAAA
This 423-nucleotide ribosomal RNA is filed under the name Acanthamoeba sp. Its description in RNAcentral is "SSU rRNA". It matches the Rfam family "Eukaryotic small subunit ribosomal RNA", at positions 779 to 1112 of the family's 1831-position model. Lineage: Eukaryota; Discosea; Longamoebia; Acanthamoebidae. The record is from RNAcentral.